UCCACAUGUCCUUGCCAGUGAGAACGAGUGAUCUGUGGUCACCCCGGCUUCGGGUCAGUGCGGGGAGCCACCCGGUCCUCCUGUGCCGGACCAGGGAGGGGAGUAUGGAGCUCAGGCUCAUGACUCGAAGGGGCGGUUCACUGAGCCCACAGUGUUCUAGACACUCUUCUGAAUGUUGUCUCACUUAGGUCAUCGCCCAUCAAUGAAGCAGCAGUUGUGGGCCUCCUUCCGCAAACGCAGACCUUGACCUUGGGUGAAACUGGGUGAUUGCUCACAUGUCUGAGCAAAGCCUUCCUGGUCGUGAGUCACAGAAACCAACUAGAGCUCAGUCUUGCAAAGGAAUCGAAAAGGGAGGAGCAGGGAGGGGCAGGGAGGGUCCAGGGACAUUCUGCGGAUCCCACAGUCAGACCUGCCACCAGAGCCAGGAGGACCUUGAACUUGGAUCAGGAAGGAGCUGGGAGCCUGGCAAACACACCCCCGACGCGUCCUUCCGGCCAUCGCAGAAGGGCUCCUUUCUCUCGGGUCUUUGUCCUUGUAGAGAAGGAUGGUGGCCCUGUAGCUCCUGAAACCCUGUGUUCCAGGGCCAGCCGCCGGCUGAAGACCUGACCCUCACUCCCAACUCUAAGCUUUUCACAGGGACGACUGCGUCUUCUUAGUAGGGUCUGCGGCCAGGCCACACCUAUGGUUGCAAGUUUCUCCAUGUGUGGAAACCAAGGAUUUCAACCACUUCCAUUUUGACUUCAAACCUUCUAAUGCAUUAAGGUCUUUCCAGGUAUCUCUGAACUCAGCAAAAGAGCCUGCAGGCAAAGCAUCCCUUGAUGGGAAGUGAAACUACCCGCUCCAGCAAAGACGGCCCUGAGCCAGCCAGACCCCACCUGUGACUGACCCCAAGACAGUGAUGACCUGACCUUUACGGCCGCCUGCAGGAGCCCAGCGACCUUUACCCCCCCUUUUCCCUAUCAACCUGGAAUAUUUUCAGCAUCUUGAAGACAGUCUUUCAGACGCUAGUCCACUGCCUUCCCAGUGCCGGACUCACUGGAAUAAAUUCCUUUCUUGUUCCACUGUCACUUGUCUCUCUGCGAGCGACUGGACCUGGGGCCCCCGGAGCCAGAUGCUCUCGCACGCCUGUGCCCCAGCUCCGGAGAGAUGGAGUGACGGGUUCUAGACAAGCGAUGGAAGGGUCGCGGGUUUGACAAACACUGAACGUGCACUCGCCACGUACCAAGUUGACGCAACUGUUCCUUUAGCCUCCCCAGAUGGUCAUCAAGUUUCUAGAAAAUCUGUUGCAGAAAGCUCGCAGGAAUGAAAGUCUUUCCUUCAUAUGCAUUUGGCUUCUCGGCUUUCCCAUGUCCCCAUCUGAGCUCUGAACAAUCUAAAUGCUUGUUCUUGGCUUAAAAUACUGACUUACAAACUCCAGUGCACAUCUGAAUCACUUGGAGAGAUCGCUGCAACAGACGGUUGGGCCCUGCCCCCAGGUCUCUGAUUCGUUAGGUCUGGAGCCAAGUUCAAGAAUGUGUGUUUUUAACAAGUUCCCACGAGGUUCUAAUGCUGCUGGCCAGGGGACCGCACUUCCACAACUGCUGAACCGGAAGAGCCAAAGUCACGAGCGGGUCCCCAAGACACAUGAAUCACACAAAGCUCUGUGUUUGUUUAGGUGACCCUUGAGCAUCUCGGGUUGCCCCGUGUGGGUCCACUUCUAUGCGGGUUUUUCUGGUAAAGACAGUACAGUGCUGUAAAUGUGUUUUUCUUCCUUAUGAUUUUCUUUUUCUAGCUUACUUUAUUAUAAACAUACAGUAUAUGAUA
Lutra lutra (Eurasian river otter) is the source of this 1803-nucleotide long non-coding RNA. RefSeq lists it as uncharacterized. The record is from RefSeq and is a predicted model, not a curated record. Lineage: Eukaryota; Metazoa; Chordata; Mammalia; Carnivora; Mustelidae. The transcript is spliced from 2 exons.